UGGUUCUGGCAUCGAUGAAGAACGCAGCGAAAUGCGAUAAGUAAUGCGAAUUGCAGAAUUCUGUGAGUCAUCGAAUCUUUGAACGCACAUUGCGCCCGCUAGCACUCUAGCGGGCAUGCCUGUCCGAGCGUCAUUUCAACCCUCAAGCGCUGUUCCGCUUGGCGUUGGGGCUAUUACAAUAGGCAUUUACUGUCUUGUAAGCCCUGAAAUUCAGCGGCGAGCCCGCCGACACACCGAGCGUAGUAAAUCUACUUCCGCUUAGGGGGUGCGGCGAAGUUCAGUCUGCCAACUAUAUUUUUCUAAAGUUGACCUCGGAUCAGGUAGGAAUACCCGCUGA
Molecule: unclassified non-coding RNA, 337 nt
Filed under: uncultured fungus
Lineage: Eukaryota; Fungi
Description: partial contains 5.8S ribosomal RNA and internal transcribed spacer 2
Rfam family: 5.8S ribosomal RNA (bases 1-133)
Source: RNAcentral